GACGAACGCUGGCGGCGUGCUUAACACAUGCAAGUCGAGCGAGCCCCCUGCUUCGGUGGGGUGUGCUAGCGGCGAACGGGUGAGUAACACGUGGGCAACCUGCCCUCAGCUCUGGGAUAACUCCAAGAAAUUGGGGCUAAUACCGGAUGUGACCGCUGACCGCAUGGUCUGGUGGUGGAAAGACUUAUCGGCUGGGGAUGGGCCCGCGGCCUAUCAGCUUGUUGGUGGGGUA
This 232-nucleotide ribosomal RNA is filed under the name uncultured Geodermatophilaceae bacterium. Its description in RNAcentral is "partial small subunit ribosomal RNA". It matches the Rfam family "Bacterial small subunit ribosomal RNA", at positions 28 to 259 of the family's 1533-position model. The record is from RNAcentral. Lineage: Bacteria; Bacillati; Actinomycetota; Actinomycetes; Geodermatophilales; Geodermatophilaceae.